CCAUAUCUCACUGCCCUUCCCAUUUCGUACCCGUUCUCCAAGUCUACCGAAGCAGAACCCUUCCACCGGCACAAAGUCCCAAGACGAAAUCAGUUUCCUUCAAAUCUACCACAGCAAAACCCUCCCGCUGGCACCAAGUAGCUCACUCCCUUCGACGCCGGAACGAAAAGGACGGCAUUUGUACCCUUCGUCGCUUGCUGCACCAGACCUGUACUCAUCUUCGUCACUGAAAGUAAGUUCGAAAAUGUGGGUUUUCGAAGGAUUGACUAUGGCGCUUAAGUUUUGGGGGUCAAAUUUUUGUUUUCUGAUUUUCUCGUCAGUAGCAAUCAUUGGGUCGAAUGGAGGUUUUUUUUUUCCCAUUUUUUCUCCUAAAUCAAGUGAACUUUGAAAUCAGCUUUGGUUUGUGAACUCUAAAUCGGGUGAACUUUGAAAUCAGUAAUCAUUGUAGUCAGUAGCAAUCAGCUUCUGUUCGUGCACUUUGAAUGUUGAAAUUUUGCAUUUUCUCGUUAUGGUGUGUGAAUUUUAUAGAUGUCUGGAAUCAACUUCUUUUUGUGAACUCAAUAAGAUUGCUUUAAUGGAUGUGAGCUCUUAUUCUUGAAUAGCUUUUGAUGUGUUGUGGUUUAUUUUCAGCUUAUGAUGGCGGGGAAGAACCAUGGAGUAUGUCAUGGUUGUAGAGGAAAAGGGCAUUUUUUGCUAACUGUCCGGAGAAAUGGCAUUGCCCAUGGUACAAACAUGCAUCCGUUAAAUGUUUUGAGGUAGAGAAAGAGAGCAAAAACAAGGGUAGAUUAUUCAAUACUUGUACUGCAAAAUGUGGAUGGAUAUUGGGAGUGGGUGAAAGAUGGCGAGAAUAACGGUGAAGCAAGUGUAGUCAGCAUAACUUCGACGAAUCAUGUGAUGAGCAAAGGAGUUGAAGAAUUAUCUUGCAUGUUUUAAUCUCAAUGUCGACUAUUUGAUCAACGCAAUGUGGAGAUGUCUCUUAACGUGACAAUACGCAAAGGAAGAGCAAACGUGGAUGGAGAGAAGAAAGGAAAGGGCCGUGAAUGAAUUGCAGUUUUGAAUUUAAUGACCUUAUUCAGUUUUGCAUUUCUGGCAUUAGUAGUUUCAUCACUAUUUAGUAGUUAAGUAAUGUUGUUUUGUAAUUGUGUCAUCGCAGGGGGUCACUCGAUGUGAAUUGUCUAGAUGGUAUUGUCGUUUGUAGUUAUGCAAUGUGGAUGGGAUGGAGUUGCCAUUCAAGGAAUGUGUAGUAUCAACUUGGACUUUGAUCACAUUCCAGCAUCUCACAAUGUUUAAGCAUUGUCUCUUCAUUAUGUAAUUUCUUUCCUUUUCAAUGAAGUGAUUGCAACAGAUUUUAGUUGAAUGUUUAAGCAUUUUGUGGCUUGAAUAAAAUAUAAUCCAUCUUUA
RNAcentral lists this long non-coding RNA (1401 nucleotides) under Olea europaea subsp. europaea. The record is from RNAcentral. Lineage: Eukaryota; Viridiplantae; Streptophyta; Magnoliopsida; Lamiales; Oleaceae.